GGGGGUGUUGUUCAGUGGUAGAGAGCUUGCCUAGCAUGCAUGAGGCCCUGGGUUUCAUCCCUAGCACCUUCA
This 72-nucleotide transfer RNA is filed under the name Marmota monax (woodchuck). It matches the Rfam family "tRNA". Rfam says of the family: Transfer RNA (tRNA) molecules are approximately 80 nucleotides in length. The record is from Rfam by way of RNAcentral. Lineage: Eukaryota; Metazoa; Chordata; Mammalia; Rodentia; Sciuridae.